Molecule: ribosomal RNA, 363 nt
Filed under: uncultured Pseudomonadaceae bacterium
Lineage: Bacteria; Pseudomonadati; Pseudomonadota; Gammaproteobacteria; Pseudomonadales; Pseudomonadaceae
Description: bacterial SSU rRNA
Rfam family: Bacterial small subunit ribosomal RNA
Source: RNAcentral
CCUACGGGGGGCUGCAGUGGGGAAUAUUUGACUGUUUUGACGUUACCGACAGAAUAAGCACCGGCUAACUUCGUGCCAGCAGCCGCGGUAAUACGAAGGGUGCAAGCGUUAAUCGGAAUUACUGGGCGUAAAGCGCGCGUAGGUGGUUCGUUAAGUUAGGAGUGAAAGCCCCGGGCUCAACCUGGGAAUUGCUUCUAAAACUGGCGGGCUAGAGUACAGUAGAGGAUGGUGGAAUUUCCUGUGUAGCGGUGAAAUGCGUAGAUAUAGGAAGGAACAUCAGUGGCGAAGGCGACCAUCUGGACUGAUACUGACACUGAGGUGCGAAAGCGUGGGGAGCAAACAGGCUUAGAUACCCCUGUAGUC